Molecule: RNase P RNA, 456 nt
Filed under: Paenibacillus sp. N3.4
Lineage: Bacteria; Bacillati; Bacillota; Bacilli; Caryophanales; Paenibacillaceae
Description: Bacterial RNase P class A
Rfam family: Bacterial RNase P class A
About the family: Ribonuclease P (RNase P) is a ubiquitous endoribonuclease, found in archaea, bacteria and eukarya as well as chloroplasts and mitochondria.
Source: Rfam by way of RNAcentral
AAAGUUUGACAGACAAUCGCUGGCUGUGGGUAAGCCACAGCGAGAGGAAAGUCCGGGCUCCAUAUGGCAGGGUGCUGGAUAACGUCCAGUCAACGCGAGUUGAAGGAUAGGGCCACAGAAAUGGACCGCCGAUGGCUCGAGAGUUUGGCAUUAGCGAAACUCGUAGCGUAAGUUUUACGUGAGAUGAGCACAGGCAAGGGUGGAACCGUGGUGUAAGAGACCACGAGGUUCUAUGGUGACAUAGAUCCUGGUAAACCCCACUUGGAGCAAGGCCUAGUGGAACGCAAGCUGCUUUCGAGGCAGCAGUCUUCGCCUGAGACGCGUUCGGGUUGGUCGCUUGAGCUGUGCAGCAAUGUAUGGCCUAGAUAGAUGAUUGUCGCUUCAAUGGUGGCAGGGGAGCAGACGCCCGUUACGACCACUGGAAGUACAGAACCCGGCUUACGGCAAACUUUCCAU